AUUGAACGCUGGCGGCAGGCUUAACACAUGCAAGUCGAGCGGGGUGAUGGUGCUUGCACUAUCACUUAGCGGCGGACGGGUGAGUAAUGCUUAGGAAUCUGCCUAUUAGUGGGGGACAACAUCUCGAAAGGGAUGCUAAUACCGCAUACGUCCUACGGGAGAAAGCAGGGGAUCACUUGUGACCUUGCGCUAAUAGAUGAGCCUAAGUCGGAUUAGCUAGUUGGUGGGGUAAAGGCCUACCAAGGCGACGAUCUGUAGCGGGUCUGAGAGGAUGAUCCGCCACACUGGGACUGAGACCCGGCCCAGAAUCCUACGGGAGGCAGCAGUGGGGAAUAUUGGACAAGGGGGGGAACCCUGAUCCAGCCAUGCCGCGUGUGUGAAGAAGGCCUUAUGGUUGUAAAGCACUUUAAGCGAGGAGGAGGCUCUUUUGGUUAAUACCCAAGAUGAGUGGACGUUACUCGCAGAAUAAGCACCGGCUAACUCUGUGCCAGCAGCCGCGGUAA
RNAcentral lists this ribosomal RNA (503 nucleotides) under uncultured bacterium. RNAcentral describes it as "partial 16S ribosomal RNA". It matches the Rfam family "Bacterial small subunit ribosomal RNA", at positions 30 to 523 of the family's 1533-position model. The record is from RNAcentral.